Long non-coding RNA from Ananas comosus (pineapple), 1426 nucleotides. RefSeq lists it as uncharacterized. The record is from RefSeq and is a predicted model, not a curated record. The transcript has 4 exons. Lineage: Eukaryota; Viridiplantae; Streptophyta; Magnoliopsida; Poales; Bromeliaceae.
UCUUAUUCGUAUCCCUCUUCUCCCCUCACCAAACCCGUCGAAACCCUAAACCUCACCCUAACCCUAACACGAACCAAACCUGAUGCUACUCCACCGCACCUUCCCCCGCGUCGACCUCACACGAGCGCCCCCACCCUCAACCCCUUCUCUCCCUCACCUCCUCCUCUCCGAGCUCGAGCUCUCCCCCUCUCCUUCACCUCUACUCAUCCUCUCCUCCCUCAUCCUCCACGUUCUCUCCAAGCUCCGAACCCAUCCCCAAAUCGCCUUCGUUAUCGCCCCUGACCUUCUCGGCCCCGCGAGGAGGAUCCUCGACCCGGCGAUCCGAUCCGUGCCCUCGGCAGUGCGGCUUCUCGAUUCGGUGCUUCGAACCAUUGCAUGUUGGUGAAGAAAUGUAGAUUCUGUUCCAAAUAUGCCCAAGUCAGAAAUUCAGAAAUUGGAUCUUUCUCAUGUUGAUUCAAUCUCCUCGAUCCGCAUCCUCCAAUCGGAGGCGAUGAAGAAGAAGAAGAAGAAGACGAAGAAGAAGAAGAUGAUGAUGAUAAUGACGACGGUUGGUGGGAUGAGGUGGAUUAGUUUCUAUUGCUCAGCGCUGUUUCCGUUCCCACUGAUGUACCUCGCCUGAAAAGUGGCUUGAAGUUAGAAGGGAGCUACAAGUAUAACUGUGGCAAGUAAAUCUCUAUGGCGAGUAUAUAAAGGUCUUGCCCUCCUCUUCUUCGAUAUCGACUGCCCUGCUUCUCCCCUGCCCGGGUGCGUCUAGUCCCCCCCCCACCCCCACUGUCUCUGUUCGCUUCUUCCUUCCUUUUUUAUUUUUUUACCCCUUUCUAACCCACCUGCCUCGCUUUUUUUGUUUUCCCUUUUUUUUUUUUUUUUUUUCUUGCUUUGGAUGAGGAACAAAAAUAGAAAAAAGGAUUUGUGUAGCAUUUCGGUACCGAGCAAGGCUGCGUUGCUGUGCCAGAGGAAGGAUAGCUAAAGUGAUUCGGUAUACCCGAAAUACACCUUUGGUACAAAAUUGACGAUCUCACAAAGAUGCAAUAUCAGUAGUUUUCUAUUUACUGAUCCCAUCUUUCACGGAAUCGAUUCCCCUUUUUGAAUGUACAAAAAUUUGUGGAGCUCAGCAUGUCUGGAAGCACGGGAGAACGUUCUUUUGCUGAUAUUAUUACCAGUAUUCGAUACUGGGUUAUUCAUAGCAUUACUAUACCUUCCCUAUUCAUUGCGGGUUGGUUAUUCGUCAGUACGGGUUUAGCUUACGACGUGUUUGGAAGUCCUCGGCCAAAUGAGUAUUUCACGGAAAGCCGACAGGGGAUUCCAUUGAUAACCGGCCGUUUUGAUUCUUUGGAACAACUCGAUGAAUUUAGUAGAUCCUUUUAGGAGGCCCUCAAUGACCAUAGAUCGAACCUAUCCAAUUUUUACAGUGCGCUGGUUGGCUGUU